CCUACGGGAGGCAGCAGUGGGGAAUUUUGGACAAUGGACGCAAGUCUGAUCCAGCCAUGCCGCGUGUGGGAAGAAGGCCUUCGGGUUGUAAACCACUUUUGUCAGGGAAGAAACGGUCUAGGUUAAUACCUUGGGCUAAUGACGGUACCUGAAGAAUAAGCACCGGCUAACUACGUGCCAGCAGCCGCGGUAAUACGUAGGGUGCAAGCGUUAAUCGGAAUUACUGGGCGUAAAGCGUGCGCAGGCGGUUAUGCAAGACAGAUGUGAAAUCCCCGGGCUCAACCUGGGAACUGCAUUUGUGACUGCAUGGCUAGAGUACGGUAGAGGGGGAUGGAAUUCCGCGUGUAGCAGUGAAAUGCGUAGAUAUGCGGAGGAACACCGAUGGCGAAGGCAAUCCCCUGGACCUGUACUGACGCUCAUGCACGAAAGCGUGGGGAGCAAACAGGAUUAGAUACCCUGGUAGUCCACGCCCUAAACGAUGUCAACUGGUUGUUGGGAGGGUUUCUUCUCAGUAACGUAGCUAACGCGUGAAGUUGACCGCCUGGGGAGUACGGCCGCAAGGUUGAAACUCAAAGGAUUGACGG
RNAcentral lists this ribosomal RNA (584 nucleotides) under uncultured bacterium. RNAcentral describes it as "bacterial SSU rRNA". It matches the Rfam family "Bacterial small subunit ribosomal RNA", at positions 338 to 916 of the family's 1533-position model. The record is from RNAcentral.